ACGAAGUCUACAAGUGGAUAUGGCUUCCUGCAGGAAAGUCGUGCUCAUCCUUUCACGAGUGAGUCAUUGGGCUCAAGCGAGAAACAAAAGAUUUACGAACCAAAGCCUUUGGCAGACACGAACUUGCAAUGUGAAUCGUAUGGCAUAUGUUAUUUACAGUUACCUUGGCUUACAAGAUUAUUCACAACAACAUGUUUUGCCAACACUAAGAAAAUUCAACCUCAAUGUUCUUAUUGACUCUUGGUCUUUAUGAAAAAACGAGGGAUUCAAGCAAAGUUUCAAAGAACAGCAGCUUUUCUGACUUGUAACCGAAGUCAAUCCUGACAUGUCUUUUUUACAUUAGUCCGGGUCUUUCACAAUACAACUCUCCAAGUUAUUUUUGAUUUAUGUAUCUACUAUUUUUUAAGAAAUAAAAGAUGUUUACUGUGUUUGGACAGGCUUGUGCCAAACAAGAGAUUAA
Long non-coding RNA from Xenia sp. Carnegie-2017, 460 nucleotides. RefSeq lists it as uncharacterized. The transcript is spliced from 2 exons. The record is from RefSeq and is a predicted model, not a curated record. NCBI's taxonomy places the organism in Eukaryota, Metazoa, Cnidaria, Anthozoa, Malacalcyonacea, Xeniidae.